AGUAUGAGCAUAUUUGUUAGGACCGAAAGAUGGUGAACUAUGCUUGAGUAGGGUGAAGUCAGGGGAAACUCUGAUGGAGGCUCGUAGCGAUACUGACGUGCAAAUCGUUCGUCAAACUUGAGUAUAGGGGCGAAAGACUAAUCGAACCAUCUAGUAGCUGGUUCCUCCCGAAGUUUCUCUCAGGAUAGCAAGAUCAAUAUUGCAGUUUUAUCAGGUAAAGCGAAUGAUUAGAGGAUUCUGGGGAGUAAUUCCCUAGACCUAUUCUCAAACUUUAAAUUGGUAAGAACUCGUUAUUUCUUAAUUGAAUAGCGGGGAUGAAUGCAUGAUCUUAGUGGGCCAUUUUUGGUAAGCAGGACUGGCGAUGAGGGAUGAACCUAACGUUGAGUUAAGGUGCCAAACUACACGCGCAUCAGAUACCAUAAACGGUGUUUAUUCAUUUAGACAGCAGGACGGUGGCCAUGGAAGUCGGAAUCCGCUAAGGAGUGUGUAACAACUCACCUGCCGAAUGAAUUAUGCCC
This 518-nucleotide ribosomal RNA is filed under the name uncultured eukaryote. RNAcentral's name for it is "eukaryotic LSU rRNA". It matches the Rfam family "Eukaryotic large subunit ribosomal RNA", at positions 793 to 1312 of the family's 3401-position model. The record is from RNAcentral.